RNAcentral lists this transfer RNA (73 nucleotides) under Felis catus (domestic cat). It matches the Rfam family "tRNA". From Rfam's summary of the family: Transfer RNA (tRNA) molecules are approximately 80 nucleotides in length. The record is from Rfam by way of RNAcentral. Lineage: Eukaryota; Metazoa; Chordata; Mammalia; Carnivora; Felidae.
GCCUGGUUGGCUCAGUCAGUAGAGCAUGCAACUCUUCAUCUUGAGGUUGUAAGUUCAAGCCCUACACUGGGUG